Molecule: long non-coding RNA, 1209 nt
Filed under: Drosophila guanche
Lineage: Eukaryota; Metazoa; Arthropoda; Insecta; Diptera; Drosophilidae
Source: RNAcentral
GUUGCUUUUGGUACUUUGACAGUUGGUCCCCGACAAAUCUCUGCCACUGCCAGUACUCUGUGUGUGUGUCUGCAGGAUAUGAAAUGUGCACCCUGCAAAAAGGGAAAGAAGAAACCGUGGGAAACCUGCCCGCCUGUCUGGUCUGCGUCUCUCUCUCUCUCUCUCUCGCCGAACAAAAGCGAAACACGGAAAACUGAUCGAAGAGAACCGAAAGAACAAAACCAAAAACGAACACGCUCAAAUAUCGCUUCGAUCGGCUUGGCCACAAAUCGUCGAUGCCAUCGAUCGUGGAUGUUGUUGGUCAGGAUUAUGGCAGCCCCGGAGAAGCGUUCCAAUUUAGCGCCCAAACCAAGUGUAGCCAAGCAGAACGGAACGAACGACUCUGAAGGAGGAAGAGUGGCAACAGGAGAGGAGAGGAGAUGAUCGACUGGGAGAAUGAUCUGUAAAGAGAGCAUGGAACUGAUGGGUUUAUAAAUGCUAGAAGGAUUUUCCACAUAGAAUCUUUAUUGUGUGUUCAAAUAUGAUGUACAAACCCACAAACUUAACUAGAAAUAUUCAACCAAAUGCUGUAGAACUACCUCCCGUCUGUUGCCUAUACACUCCCCUGCCUUAUAUCCCCCUUUGCUCGGCUCGUUCCCAUUCAAUGGGUAUGAAAACCCAAGAGUGCACUUAAGGGAUGGAACAAAAAGUGAUCGCAGAUCGAUCCACAAGUGUUGGCAGGCUAUGCCCCCCUCCACCACACUCUCUCGUAUGACCUGUUGUGCGUGAGUAUUGGUGUGUGCUGUGUGCGUGUCGAGAGGCACCUUACCGCAAGAACGGCAGAGCCAAUGAUGGUGAAAGGUUUCAGAUUUCAUCUGGUAGAUGUUGUCGAGGAAUAGGGAUAGUGGCUGCAGGUUUUGUUCGAGGGUUGGAAUGCCAUUCGAGUGCAUUGUGCAACUGAGAUUCGAUCCUCGCCAGCCAGGAUAAACAGCGUGUCAGAGUGUCGUCUGCCCUUGCUUCCCACUCCUGGGCUGCUUCUUUGGCUUCUUUCAGGCUUCCGCUUGUGUGUGUGUGUGUGUGUGUGUGUGUGUCUGUGGAAUGUGGAAAUCUUUAUCAAUUAAAUAAUCGCUGUAGAAAAGGGGCCUCAUCAUCAUCAUCAACAGCAGCAGCGGCAGAGAGGCAUAUCAGGCCUGCAGGCAUGUAUAGAACGUAUGGAAAGGAAGAAUACUU